AUACUUACCUGACAGCGGAGAUACCAUGGUCAUGAAGGUGGUUUUCCCAGGGCGAGGCUUAUCCAUUGCACUCUGGAUGUGCUGACCCCUGCUAUUUCCCCAAAUAGGUAAAAAAAAAUAAAAAAUAAAAAUUAAUAAUUCUUAGUGAUUGCCCUAGAGUUUG
Molossus molossus (Pallas's mastiff bat) is the source of this 163-nucleotide small nuclear RNA. RefSeq annotates it as U1 spliceosomal RNA. The record is from RefSeq and is a predicted model, not a curated record. NCBI's taxonomy places the organism in Eukaryota, Metazoa, Chordata, Mammalia, Chiroptera, Molossidae. The transcript has a single exon.